AAUGAACGUUGGCGGCGUGGAUUAGGCAUGCAAGUCGUGCGCGAAUGAUCUGGUGCUUGCAUUGGAUCAGGAAAGCGGCGAAAGGGAGAGUAACGCGUGGAUACCUACCCCUGGAUCCGGGAUAGCUGCGGGAAACUGCGGAUAAUACCGGAUGAUGUCUCUGGACCAAAGGUGUGAUUCCGUCCGGGGAUGGGUCCGCGUCCUAUUAGCUAGUUGGUGGGGUAAUGGCCUACCAAGGCAACGAUGGGUAGCGGGUGUGAGAGCAUGACCCGUCUCACUGGGACUGAGACACUGCCCAGACACCUACGGGU
Molecule: ribosomal RNA, 311 nt
Filed under: uncultured Planctomycetota bacterium
Lineage: Bacteria; Pseudomonadati; Planctomycetota
Description: bacterial SSU rRNA
Rfam family: Bacterial small subunit ribosomal RNA
Source: RNAcentral